CACGGAGGGUGCAAGCGUUGUUCGGAUUGACUGGGCGUAAAGGGCGUGUAGGCGGUCGGUCAAGUCUGGUGUGAAAGCCCGGGGCUCAGCUCCGGAAGUGCAUCGGAAACUAGCUGGCUGGAGCGCGAUAGAGGAGGGCGGAAUUCCUGGUGUAGCGGUGAAAUGCGUUAGAUAUCAGAGGAACACCGGCGGCGAAGGCGGCCCUCUGGAUCGUUGCUGACGCUGAGACGCGAAAGCGUGGGGAGCAAACAGG
RNAcentral lists this ribosomal RNA (253 nucleotides) under uncultured bacterium. Its description in RNAcentral is "partial 16S ribosomal RNA". It matches the Rfam family "Bacterial small subunit ribosomal RNA", at positions 524 to 776 of the family's 1533-position model. The record is from RNAcentral.